Molecule: long non-coding RNA, 470 nt
Filed under: Physcomitrium patens
Lineage: Eukaryota; Viridiplantae; Streptophyta; Bryopsida; Funariales; Funariaceae
Description: long non-coding RNA (PPAT_LNC009285)
Source: RNAcentral
AGAUUUCAUGCAAUCUCCACAAUUUUAAGUGACUGCUAAGUGGACACCUCUUUUUACUAUUUUUACACACCUUGCCACAUGCCCCUGCAUAUAUGUAAUAAAACUCUUAUUUAUAUUUAAAAGCUUUAAAGUAAAUUCACUGUAAAAUAUUUAUUAAGUAAAAUUAAUAAGGCUAUUUGAAGUGAAUGAAAGAAAUAAAUUAAAUGUGAUAUGUUUUUUAAAAUAAUUAACAAAAAUAAAAAAAUAAAAUUCUAUAAGACAUUGCACACAAAUCUUUUACUAUAAAUUUCUCUUAAAACUUUUUAUUGCAAAAAUGGUUUUUAUAAAUGGUACUAUAAAUAGAUAAAUUUACAAGGUAGCAAUUGAACACCUAUUCUUUAGAAUUUAUUUUAAGUCACUGCUCCUACCAACUCAUCAAAUUCUUCUAAAAUUCAAGCAAAUCUUCUUGGUGUCUUUCUAAAAAGCUACAU